This 270-nucleotide ribosomal RNA is filed under the name Faecalibacterium prausnitzii. RNAcentral's name for it is "partial 16S ribosomal RNA". It matches the Rfam family "Bacterial small subunit ribosomal RNA", at positions 870 to 1148 of the family's 1533-position model. The record is from RNAcentral. Lineage: Bacteria; Bacillati; Bacillota; Clostridia; Eubacteriales; Oscillospiraceae.
CACCUGGGGAGUACGACCGCAAGGUUGAAACUCAAAGGAAUUGACGGGGGCCCGCACAAGCAGUGGAGUAUGUGGUUUAAUUCGACGCAACGCGAAGAACCUUACCAAGUCUUGACAUCCUGCGACGCACAUAGAAAUAUGUGUUUCCUUCGGGACGCAGAGACAGGUGGUGCAUGGUUGUCGUCAGCUCGUGUCGUGAGAUGUUGGGUUAAGUCCCGCAACGAGCGCAACCCUUAUGGUCAGUUACUACGCAAGAGGACUCUGGCCAGA